This 94-nucleotide non-coding RNA is filed under the name unclassified sequences. RNAcentral describes it as "SAM-I-IV sequence". It matches the Rfam family "SAM-I/IV (S-adenosyl methionine) riboswitch aptamer". Rfam says of the family: It is found upstream of a number of genes which code for proteins involved in methionine or cysteine biosynthesis. It has been found mostly in the order Actinomycetales. The record is from Rfam by way of RNAcentral.
ACAGUGCAUCAAGAACGCAAUGCGUACCAACCGACACACUCGAUGCACGGUGGUUUAGAAUGCGGAGAACAACUCUCAAAUUAAUCGAGUAAUC